AGCGAACGCUGGCGGCAGGCUUAACACAUGCAAGUCGAGCGGGCGUAGCAAUACGUCAGCGGCAGACGGGUGAGUAACGCGUGGGAACAUACCUUUUGGUUCGGAACAACACAGGGAAACUUGUGCUAAUACCGGAUAAGCCCUUACGGGGAAAGAUUUAUCGCCGAAAGAUUGGCCCGCGUCUGAUUAGCUUGUUGGUGAGGUAACGGCUCACCAAGGCGACGAUCAGUAGCUGGUCUGAGAGGAUGAUCAGCCACAUUGGGACUGAGACACGGCCCAAACUCCUACGGGAGGCAGCAGUGGGGAAUAUUGGACAAUGGGCGCAAGCCUGAUCCAGCCAUGCCGCGUGAGUGAUGAAGGCCCUAGGGUUGUAAAGCUCUUUUACCCGGGAAGAUAAUGACUGUACCGGGAGAAUAAGCCCCGGCUAACUUCGUGCCAGCCGCCGCCGUAAC
Molecule: ribosomal RNA, 452 nt
Filed under: uncultured bacterium
Lineage: Bacteria
Description: bacterial SSU rRNA
Rfam family: Bacterial small subunit ribosomal RNA
Source: RNAcentral